This is a non-coding RNA of Meleagris gallopavo (turkey), 211 nucleotides long. NCBI's taxonomy places the organism in Eukaryota, Metazoa, Chordata, Aves, Galliformes, Phasianidae. The record is from RefSeq and is a predicted model, not a curated record.
UUUUUAUCAUGGUGUCCUAAUUCCUGUUAUAGAAGAAAAAUGGAAAUUUCCCAGAAGGCUGCAGAGGAAGAAGAGAGAUAUCGCAGAGAAAUUGAGCAGAUAACAGCAGAGGAAGAGAAAUUUAAAAAGGAGUGGGAAGAAGACUGGGGUCCUAAAGAGCCUCCCAAACCUCUGAAAACUGUAACUGCAGAAGUGCACUCUGCUCCUCGCU